This 531-nucleotide ribosomal RNA is filed under the name Bifidobacterium adolescentis. RNAcentral describes it as "partial 16S ribosomal RNA". It matches the Rfam family "Bacterial small subunit ribosomal RNA", at positions 164 to 706 of the family's 1533-position model. Lineage: Bacteria; Bacillati; Actinomycetota; Actinomycetes; Bifidobacteriales; Bifidobacteriaceae. The record is from RNAcentral.
UAAUGCCGGAUGCUCCAGUUGACCGCAUGGUCCUCUGGGAAAGCUUUUGCGGUAUGGGAUGGGGUCGCGUCCUAUCAGCUUGAUGGCGGGGUAACGGCCCACCAUGGCUUCGACGGGUAGCCGGCCUGAGAGGGCGACCGGCCACAUUGGGACUGAGAUACGGCCCAGACUCCUACGGGAGGCAGCAGUGGGGAAUAUUGCACAAUGGGCGCAAGCCUGAUGCAGCGACGCCGCGUGCGGGAUGACGGCCUUCGGGUUGUAAACCGCUUUUGACUGGGAGCAAGCCCUUCGGGGUGAGUGUACCUUUCGAAUAAGCACCGGCUAACUACGUGCCAGCAGCCGCGGUAAUACGUAGGGUGCAAGCGUUAUCCGGAAUUAUUGGGCGUAAAGGGCUCGUAGGCGGUUCGUCGCGUCCGGUGUGAAAGUCCAUCGCUUAACGGUGGAUCCGCGCCGGGUACGGGCGGGCUUGAGUGCGGUAGGGGAGACUGGAAUUCCCGGUGUAACGGUGGAAUGUGUAGAUAUCGGGAAAGA